This is a non-coding RNA of Trichonephila clavata, 84 nucleotides long. Lineage: Eukaryota; Metazoa; Arthropoda; Arachnida; Araneae; Nephilidae. The record is from the annotation of a GenBank genome assembly.
CAGCAGCUGGCCGAGUGGUUAGGCGAUGGACUAGAAAUCAAUGGGGUCGUCCCCGCGUAGUUCAAAUCUACCGGCUGCAGUUGA